RNAcentral lists this long non-coding RNA (307 nucleotides) under Struthio camelus australis. RNAcentral describes it as "lncRNA (ENSSCUG00000002593.1)". The record is from RNAcentral. Lineage: Eukaryota; Metazoa; Chordata; Aves; Struthioniformes; Struthionidae.
AAAAAAACUUUCAAUAUAUGCACAAACAUGAAAGUCUGGCAUUUUAAAACCCAAAAUCCUUUGUUUUCUAGUGUAACCUAAGUAAAUAAUUUGGUGAUGGGACCUGUUUCAGAACUGCUGUUUCUAAUAUCCUCUGAACAUUUCUCCAAGAAGGAGGUGAAUAUUCCUGUGUGAUUAAACCACAAUGAAUAAGAAGGAUGAAAGAUCAUUAACCCUGCAGGGAAAUCCUAACACUGAUGCUUCCAUCCACAGAUACAAAUCCCUAGCAUUCCCUGUGACGGGGGAGUUUCUCUAGAAGAUGCUCUAC